This 74-nucleotide transfer RNA is filed under the name Parcubacteria group bacterium 21-54-25. RNAcentral's name for it is "tRNA-Ala". It matches the Rfam family "tRNA". Rfam says of the family: Transfer RNA (tRNA) molecules are approximately 80 nucleotides in length. Their secondary structure includes four short double-helical elements and three loops (D, anti-codon, and T loops). The record is from RNAcentral. RNAcentral also lists the same sequence under 1 other name.
GGGCCUUUAGCUCAGUUGGUUAGAGCGCCGCAUUUGCAAUGCGGAGGUCACCGGUUCGAAUCCGGUAAGGUCCA